CAGCAGCCGCGGUGAGACAGAGGUCCCGAGCGUUGUUCGGAUUCAUUGGGCGUAAAGGGUGUGUAGGAGGUCAGGUAAGUCGUGUGUGAAAUCUCAGAGCUUAACUCUGAAACUGCGCUCGAUACUGCUUGGCUAGAGGAUCGGAGGGGGUAACGGAAUUUAUGGUGUAGCAGUGAAAUGCGUAGAUAUCAUAAGGAACACCGGUGGCGAAGGCGGUUACCUGGAAGAUUCCUGACUCUGAAACACGAAAGCCAGGGGAGCAAACGGGAUUAGAUACCCCCGUAGUCCCUGUCUCUUAUAC
RNAcentral lists this ribosomal RNA (301 nucleotides) under uncultured bacterium. Its description in RNAcentral is "partial 16S ribosomal RNA". It matches the Rfam family "Bacterial small subunit ribosomal RNA", at positions 509 to 807 of the family's 1533-position model. The record is from RNAcentral.